RNAcentral lists this ribosomal RNA (491 nucleotides) under uncultured bacterium. RNAcentral's name for it is "partial 16S ribosomal RNA". It matches the Rfam family "Bacterial small subunit ribosomal RNA", at positions 29 to 506 of the family's 1533-position model. The record is from RNAcentral.
AGUGAACGCUGGCGGUAGGCCUAACACAUGCAAGUCGUACGGCAGCACAGUAAGAGCUUGCUCUUACGGGUGGCGAGUGGCGGACGGGUGAGGAAUACAUCGGAAUCUACUUUUUCGUGGGGGAUAACGUAGGGAAACUUACGCUAAUACCGCAUACGACCUACGGGUGAAAGCAGGGGAUCUUCGGACCUUGCGCGAUUGAAUGAGCCGAUGUCGGAUUAGCUAGUUGGCGGGGUAAAGGCCCACCAAGGCGACGAUCCGUAGCUGGUCUGAGAGGAUGAUCAGCCACACUGGAACUGAGACACGGCCCAGACUCCUACGGGAGGCAGCAGUGGGGAAUAUUGGACAAUGGGCGCAAGCCUGAUCCAGCCAUACCGCGUGGGUGAAGAAGGCCUUCGGGUUGUAAAGCCCUUUUGUUGGGAAAGAAAAGCAGCAGGUUAAUACCCCGCUGUUCUGACGGUACCCAAAGAAUAAGCACCGGCUAACUUCGU